Molecule: ribosomal RNA, 320 nt
Filed under: uncultured Lyngbya sp.
Lineage: Bacteria; Bacillati; Cyanobacteriota; Cyanophyceae; Oscillatoriales; Microcoleaceae
Description: bacterial SSU rRNA
Rfam family: Bacterial small subunit ribosomal RNA
Source: RNAcentral
AGGCUUUUGGAUUGUAAACCUCUUUUCUCAGGGAAGAAAAUCUGACGGUACCUGAGGAAUAAGCCUCGGCUAAUUCCGUGCCAGCAGCCGCGGUAAUACGGAAGAGGCAAGCGUUAUCCGGAAUUAUUGGGCGUAAAGCGUUCGCAGGUUGCCCUUCAAGUCUGCUGUCAAAAACCCGGGCUUAACUCCGGAAAGGCAGUGGAAACUGAAUAGCUAGAGUACGGUAGGGGUAGAGGGAAUUCCCGGUGUAGCGGUGAAAUGCGUAGAUAUCGGGAAGAACACCGGCGGCGAAAGCGCUCUGCUGGGCCGUAACUGACACU